AGUCAGUAGCUAUGCUCUUGGCCAAAGUAAGAAUGAAGAGAAGGUCACAUUGUCUGGAACUCCAGAUGGGCCUCUUGUGGUGUUAGCUUUUAAAUUGGAGGAAGGGUGCUUUGGUCAGUUGACAUAUCUGAGAUUCCUCGCUUGGUUUGGAUGCAUUCUGAUGAGAUGGAGGUUAGUUUUGCUUUGACAUUCAUCUUAGUAAUUAAUUCUAAUGAUAUGAUUGGGAUUUUUUUAUACAUGAAAUCAAAUUUUGCGAACCAACUAUCUCUACAAUGUCUUCUACUUGUCCCCAUGCUGUGGCUUAGGUGGUAAAGGGG
Molecule: long non-coding RNA, 317 nt
Organism: Quercus lobata
Lineage: Eukaryota; Viridiplantae; Streptophyta; Magnoliopsida; Fagales; Fagaceae
Exons: 3
Source: RefSeq, a predicted model, not a curated record